CCUACGGGUGGCAGCAGUGGGGAAUAUUGCACAAUGGCGGAAACCCUGAAGCAGCGACGCCGCGUGAGUGAAGAAGUAUCUCGGUAUGUUAAGCUUUAUUAGCCGGGAAGAAAAUGACGGUACCUGAUGAAGAAGCACCGGCUAACUAAGUGCCAGCUGCCGCGGUAAUAUGCAGGGGGCAAGGGUUAUCCGGAUUUACUGGGUGUAAUGGGGACGUAGACGGCAGCACAAGUGGGGAGUGAAAGGCCGGGGCUUAACCCCGGAACUGCUUUGGAAACUGUGCAGCUAGAGUGCAGGAGCGGUAAGUAGAGUUGCUAGUGUAGCGGUGAAAUGCAUAGAUAAUAGGAGGAACA
This 353-nucleotide ribosomal RNA is filed under the name uncultured bacterium. RNAcentral's name for it is "partial 16S ribosomal RNA". It matches the Rfam family "Bacterial small subunit ribosomal RNA", at positions 338 to 708 of the family's 1533-position model. The record is from RNAcentral.